RNAcentral lists this long non-coding RNA (5799 nucleotides) under Brassica rapa (field mustard). RNAcentral's name for it is "long non-coding RNA (BRAP_LNC009000)". The record is from RNAcentral. Lineage: Eukaryota; Viridiplantae; Streptophyta; Magnoliopsida; Brassicales; Brassicaceae.
GGGGACUUAAGAAGAAGGGAUCAGACCGUUGAGUGGAUAAGGGAAGAGCGUGCCAGGCUGGAACAGGCUGUAAAGAGGCAAAGCGUGUGAGCCUUACCAUCCAAUCAUCCGGAAAGCAACCUUGACUCUACAUGCUUCAAUAGUGCCCAUUUCGCCUCUUGUAAACCCUAAUGCUUUCCAUAUAAAUAUGUAACCUCACUCAUUAAUAAAAUCAAUCAGUUCGAGUCUCUCUAAUCUCUUAGACUAUGGUUUUCUCUUAGACACUAAACGGCUCUUUCUAGUCUCUUAAUCUUUCACAAACUUCUCUUAAUCACUUCCUAAACACUCUCUUUAUUCUAAUCACUCUAAAGAUCUCUUAAUCUCAUAUGGUAUCAGAGCCAGGUUCAUUUGAAUCUGGGGUUUGAUCUUUAGAGAGUUACAAGCUAAACGUCUUGGAAGCUACACGCGAGUAGUCUUGAAGGUGUUGAAGCUGUGGUUCGUUCUAGUUGAAGCUGUGCUACGUUCUGUGGGUUUGCGUGAUUCUAGACUCAAGGUUGGUGUGUACGAGAUCCAAGAUUCAAGUUUUCAAGUCAAGCAAAGAUGGAACAAGGGAUGAACAUGAGGAUGAAGGUAGCGGUUACUUUCAAAGGUAGCAACUACCUUGUGUGGUCUCGGAUGGUGAAGACUGCGGUGGGAAGUAAGGGUUUGUGGGGGCACAUCACAACAGGGGAGGCUCCGAAACUCAUUACUCAGGGAGGAGAUCAAGAAGAGGUCUCCAAUGAAGCGGCUGUGGAGAAAUGGCAACAAGAAGACAUGCUGGUGAUGACGGUUCUACACGCAUCCUUGGACCCAGCUAUCUUGGAUGCCUACAGCUACUGUGAAUCAGCCAAGGAGCUGUGGGACACGCUGAAGAAGGUGUAUGGGAACAUUUCCAACCUCAGCCGUGUGUUUGAAGUGAAGCUAGCGAUCAACCGUCUUGCACAAGAGGACAUGGAGUUCACUAAGCACUUGGGGAGGUUCAGGUCCUUAUGGUCAGAGCUGGAGAUGCUGAGGCCGAGCACAACUGAUCUAGAUCAGUUGAAUGAGAGGCGCGAGCAAGACAAGGUCUUUGGUCUGCUUCUCACACUGAACCCGGCCUACACCCAGCUCAUCCAGCACAUGUUAAGGUCAGACAAGCUUCUGGACCUUGAGGAGGUGUGUGCACAAAUCCAAAGGGAGCAGGGAUCUAUGGGUUUGUUUGGAGGAAAGGGGGAGCUCUCUCUUGCCAAUCAAGCAGCUCAUGAGGAUUCAACCGAGGCUCCACAAGCAAACAAGGCAUCUCACGGGAAGUACGAGGACAGGAAGUUCAAUGGCAACUGUGAUCAUUGCAAGAAGCAUGGUCAUAAGAAGAGCCAAUGCUGGAUACUGCACCCACACCUCAAGCCGGCCAAGUUCAUGAAGGAGCGUGAGGGAAGGGCAAAUGUGACUGAAGGUUCAAGUGGAGCUGGCACCAGCAAGAUCAGUGAAGGGAUGGGCUUGGAGGCAAUGAUGGGAAUGGGAAGUCUCUGGUGGCUUACACAGGCGCCUCAAGCUCCCGCAGCAAUGAUGACUACAUCAAGAGAUCAGAUCUUGAUGCCCUCUUCAAAAUGCUAAAGGAAAACGGUAACACUUACGGUUAUUCCUUUGGAGCUUCUAUGAUUACAUAUAAGGAUGAUCUCUUGAUUAGAGAACUAGUAGAACGGUUAGAAGCUAGGAAUGGGUAUAGACAUGCUCACAUUGCUAGAACUGAUAAGAUGCAUCCAUCACUUAGUAAUCUAUGCCAUAAUGCUAAACGAGUAAGUAAACCAUUGAUUGUUGAUUCUGGUGCAUCACAUCAUAUGAUAAGUGAUGAAAACUUGAUUAAGGAUAUAGAACCUACACAUGGGCAUGUGAUGAUAGCAAAUGGGGAUAAGAUACCCAUUAGAGGAAUAGGAAAGCUUAAGCUGUUUAACAAAGAAUCUAGAGCUUUUUACAUGCCUGAAUUCACAUCAAACCUAUUAUCAGUGAAGAAAUGUACUAAUGAUUUACAAUGCAAUGUUAUCUUUAGUCCUAAUGAUGUGAAGUUUCAGGAUAUUGAGAGCAGCAGAUUGAUUGGGAAAGGGGUGACUAAGGGAGAUCUCUAUAUGCUUGAAGAACUCACUUCUGUUCCUGAUUAUAGUUGCUCGUUUACUUCUGCUUCUUUGUUGAAUAAAAAUGCAUUGUGGCAUGCUAGAGUAGGACACCCUCAUGUUAAAGCUUUGAACUUAAUGGUACCAGGUGUUGUGUUUGAGAACAAAGAUUGUGAAGCUUGUAUUUUAGGCAAGCAUUGUAGAACUGUGUUUCAAAAGUCUACUACCGUUUAUGAUAAUUGCUUUGAUCUAAUUCACUCAGAUGUGUGGACGGCCCCUUGCUUAUCUAGAGAUAGUUAUAAGUAUUUUGUCACAUUCAUUGAUGAAAAAUCCAAAUACACCUGGUUAACCUUAAUUCAAACCAAAGAUAGGGUACUUGAUGCAUUUAGGAACUUUCAAACUUAUGUAACUAACCAUUAUCAUGCUAAGAUUAAAAUUUUGAGAUCAGAUAAUGGAGGGGAGUACACGAGUCAUGCAUUCAAGCAACACCUAUCACAACAUGGGAUCCUACAUCAAACAAGCUGUCCUUAUACUCCACAGCAAAAUGGAGUGGCUGAGAGGAAGAAUAGGCAUCUCAUGGAAGUGGCAAGGUCACUUAUGUUUCAGAGUAAUGUUCCAAAGAGAUUUUGGAGUGAUGCGGUUGCCACUGCUUGUUACCUGAUAAACAGAACCCCAACCAAAGUUCUGAAUGAGAAGGCUCCAUUUGAAGUUCUGAACAGGUACAAGCCAGCUCUUGAUUAUUUGCGAGUCUUUGGAUGCCUAUGCUUUGUACUCAAACCAGGAGAGAUGAUCAACAAGCUAGAAGCAAGAAGCACUAAGGCUGUGUUCAUAGGAUACUCAGCUACACAGAAAGGAUACAAAUGCUAUGAUCCUAUAGCAAGGAGAGUUCUUGUAUCUAGAGAUGUGAAGUUCUUGGAAGAUAGAGGAUACUAUGAAGAAAAGAAUCAAGAAGACCUGAAGGACUUAACAUCAGACAAGGCCACCACCUUGCGGAUCAUUCUUGAAGGUCUUGGAAUCAGUACAUCCCAGGAUCCAAGGAAUCACGCAACUACACCUCCUGAAGUUGGUUCACCAUCCCACCUUGAUCAUGAGGGAGGAGAGGAGCAUGAGGAGCCUAUGCAAGAGGCCAACCAAGAUGAAGGAGGAGUAGAGAAUGAAGGAGAAGAGAGCAUAGGCUCGGAUGGUCAUGGACAUGAUCAUGGUGUGACACAAACACCUUCUCAAGAUGAAGUGGUAGAAGAACAACAGGAAGAAGAACCGGUUGUGCAGCCACUAAGAAGGAGUACAAGGAUAAGGAAGGAUCCUUCCAGUUGGGUAAACACGAGAGUGUACUACAAUGCCCAAGCUGUGGAGCAUCCUUCUCAAGCCGUGUGCUCCUUUGCUCAAUAUCCAGAAGCACAUUGCGCUUUCAUGGUAAACUUGGAUGAGAAUCACAUCCCAAGAAGCUAUGAAGAAGCAAUGAAAGAUAAAGAAUGGAAGGAAUCAGUUGGAGAUGAGGCAGGAGCAAUGAUCAAGAAUGAUACAUGGUAUGAGAGUGAGUUACCAAAAGGGAAGAAGGCUGUGACUAGUAGAUGGAUAUUCACAAUCAAGUACAAAGCGGAUGGAAAGGUUGAGAGGAAGAAGUCAAGGCUAGUUGCAAGAGGUUUCACUCAAACUUAUGGAGAAGAUUACAUAGAAACCUUUGCACCAGUAGCUAAACUCCACACAAUCCGGAUUGUACUGAGCUUAGCUGUGAAUCUUGGAUGGGGGUUAUGGCAAAUGGAUGUGAAGAAUGCGUUUCUACAAGGUGAACUUGAGGAUGAAGUGUAUAUGCAUCCACCUCCAGGCCUUGAACACUUAGUGAAGAGUGGAAAUGUGUUGAGACUGAAGAAAGCCAUCUAUGGGCUGAAGCAAUCACCAAGAGCUUGGUACAACAAGUUGAGCACUACUCUGAAUGGCCGAGGCUUCAAGAAGUCUGAACUAGAUCACACCCUCUUCACACUCACGACUCCCUCAGGUAUGAUUGCACUUCUUGUGUAUGUUGAUGAUAUCAUUAUCACAGGGAGUGAUAAGGAAGGUAUCAUAGCAACCAAGGAGUUUCUUAAAUCCAUGUUUGAGAUUAAAGACUUGGGAGAAAUGAAAUACUUUCUUGGAAUUGAGAUAUGUAGAUCCAAGGAAGGUUUGUUCAUGUCCCAAAGGAAGUAUACACUUGAUCUUUUGAAAGGUGCAGGUGCUUAUGGAGGCAAGACAGCAAGGAUGCCUAUGGAGGAUGGCUACAAAGUCCCACGAGAGGGGGAGAUUGAAGACAGCAAACCUUAUCAGGAUCCUAAACUCUAUAGAAAACUAGUUGGCAAAUUGAUUUAUCUCACUAUAACUAGACCUGACAUUUGUUUUGCUGUGAAUCAGGUGAGUCAACACAUGCAAGUACCUAAGGAACAUCAUUGGCGCAUGGUGGAGAGGAUCUUGAUGUAUCUCAACGGCUCACCUGAUCAAGGAGUAUGGAUGGGCUGCAAUGGAAGCACUGAAGUGGUGGGAUACUGUGAUGCGGAUUGGGCUGGUGAUAGAGCAGACAGGAGAUCAACCACAGGCUAUUGCACAUUCAUUGGAGGCAACUUGGUGACUUGGAAGAGUAAGAAGCAGAAGGUGGUGUCUUGCUCAAGUGCAGAAGCUGAGUAUAGAGCUAUGCUGAAGCUCACCAACGAGUUAGUAUGGAUCAAAGGCAUCUUGAAGCAUUUGGAGAUUGAUCAAGCCACGCCAAUGACCAUGCAUUGUGACAACCAAGCAGCUAUCCACAUUGCCUCCAACUCGGUGUUCCAUGAGAGAACCAAGCACAUUGAAGUUGAUUGCCACAAGGUGAGGCAGAUGAUCAUCUUAGGAGUCAUCUUGCCAUGCUACACAAGAAGUGAAGAUCAGUUAGCGGAUGUGUUCACCAAGGCUGCAAGACAGAAGACAAUGGAGUCCAUUCACAUACGGUUGGGCCUCAUUGAUCUUGGGAAGAGAAGGAGCUGAUCCCCUUGGCUGUGAGGUCUUUACUCUUUUUCCCUUAUCAAGGUUUUAUCCCAAUGGGUUUUCCUUGGUAAGGUUUUUAAUGAGGAAGAUCUCAUUGCUAUCCAAGCUUAGGCUUUCACAAAGCUAAGCUUGAGGGGGAGUGUUGAGUUGAGUUGAUCAUAUUGGUAUGGAGAGAAGAGGAGUUGAAGAGGAGAAGAGAUGGAGAAGCUUAGGGGGUUUGGGUGUGAAUGGUACGGACGUCCGUACAAGGCCGUACAUGGCCGUACCGUCCGUACCAAAGGUCUCGACCAAAACUUACCCAACUCGACCAAGUGAAACGGUAACAAGGGAGUGUUACCUUGGGGACUUAAGAAGAAGGGAUCAGACCGUUGAGUGGAUAAGGGAAGAGCGUGCCAGGCUGGAACAGGCUGUAAAGAGGCAAAGCGUGUGAGCCUUACCAUCCAAUCAUCCGGAAAGCAACCUUGACUCUACAUGCUUCAAUAGUGCCCAUUUCGCCUCUUGUAAACCCUAAUGCUUUCCAUAUAAAUAUGUAACCUCACUCAUUAAUAAAAUCAAUCAGUUCGAGUCUCUCUAAUCUCUUAGACUAUGGUUUUCUCUUAGACACUAAACGGCUCUUUCUAGUCUCUUAAUCUUUCACAAACUUCUCUUAAUCACUUCCUAAACACUCUCUUUAUUCUAAUCACUCUAAAGAUCUCUUAAUCUCAUA